UGAAACAUUAUGAAAUUAGAGAAACUUUCGGUUAGUAUCUUUUCCCAAGGAUAUGUGGCAUGCAGACUGAGAGCUGCCAGCACGCAACCACCAACUUUCCAAUUAGUAGAAUUUGGCAUAUCGCCAUAAAGAUUCAUUAUAAAAAUACUGUAUGACAUAUAUUACAAAGAAGUGCAGUUUAUACAAUAUUUGUGGUUGCCUGCGUGUGUUUUCCAGAAUCCAUUCUGUGGUCAAACUUCAUUACAUUGUGCCCUAAGUUCUUGGAAAUAAUAGAUUUAUGUAUCAACUUCCUUGUAUGGAUGCUGACAAAGUCAGAGUCUCAAGACAGGCCAAAAAAUUUUCAUCAGAGUCUGAGGCAAAUUUUCAAUUGGAGCUUGGAAUUUGCCCCUCAGCAUGCAAUAUUGUGCAUCCCUGACCAAUUGACACAGAUGACCUGUUUUAUUUAAGAAUUUCACUUGAUAAUUCACAGUUAGACAUUGUCAGACCACAGGUCUGCUUGUCUUGAAGAAGAACUCACUUGUUAGCUAGCUCUUAACUUAGGCUAGUAACUUGAUUCUGUUCAUCUGGACGUAGUGUUUUCAGUGGGAGAAAUGUUUCAUCACUUAUCUACAGCUUCUCUCCUCCUGUUUUCCCUCCAGAACCCCAUUCCCUUACAGAGACUGUUUGGUCAUAACUCAUAAGCUGGGGAGGAAAUGGUUUCUCAUUAACUCAGAAGAUCAUCAUUUAUCCUGGAAAAAUAGUUUGUUGCUCUAUAAAAAAGUUCUCACUUCUAAAAAGCUAAAGGAGGGAGGAAAGAGGAAGGAGAAGAGUAAUAAAAGAUGGCGCCUGUGUGUGCGGCUCGCCGUCAGCUGUUACCUGUUUUGAUUCCACUAACCUUGCUUAUAUCUGUUUUUCUCAACAAUGUCUUUACUCUUUUUGUGUAUGAUUUCCGAUUGCUAUUAACCAUCCGAGCCACUGUUGAUGAGCAGUAUCAUAUGGCCCCAGGAGGCGAGGAUUACCGAGUCCCACCUGUGGUACAAACCGUACCACUGUUUCUCCGCUGUUAUCCACCUAGCCUUCCCCUUGGGAAGAAAUCCUACACAAGACGAGGGAAACAGGGUGGAAUACUGUUUACUGGUGAAGAGGGAAGACGAGGGAAUCCAGGGAUCAAGAGUGGUGGAGUGGAGGCAGGCAGGUGA
This 1178-nucleotide long non-coding RNA is filed under the name Oreochromis niloticus (Nile tilapia). Its description in RNAcentral is "lncRNA (ENSONIG00000034506.1)". The record is from RNAcentral. Lineage: Eukaryota; Metazoa; Chordata; Actinopteri; Cichliformes; Cichlidae.